CUAAGAUCAAUGCCAUUAAAACUUGGCCAGAACCAACCAACUUGCAAGUGUAGUUUCCAUGGCUUAGCCGGUUUCUAUCGUAGAUUCGCUAAGGAGUUUAGCACCAUUGCAUCCCCUUUACACGCCUUGAGUAAGAAGAAUGCACCAUUUAUUUGGGGAUCAUCUCAAGAUACCGCAUUUAACAAACUAAAAAAUUUGCUUACUCAUGCUCCUGUGCUUGCAUUGCCCAAUUUUGAUAAAACUUUUGAAGUUCAUUGUGAUGCUAGCGGUAAUGGCAUAGGAGGUGUGUUAACGCAAGAGAAGCGCCCCAUUGCUUACUUUAGUGAAAAGCAUUCUGGGGCGCAACUCAAUUAUCCC
RNAcentral lists this ribosomal RNA (357 nucleotides) under Triticum aestivum (bread wheat). Its description in RNAcentral is "partial small subunit ribosomal RNA". The record is from RNAcentral. Lineage: Eukaryota; Viridiplantae; Streptophyta; Magnoliopsida; Poales; Poaceae.